GGAGGAAAAGAAACUAACAAGGAUUCCCCUAGUAACUGCGAGUGAAGAGGGAAAAGCUCAAAUUUAAAAUCUGGCAGCUUCGCUGUCCGAGUUGUAAUUUAGAGAAGUGUUACCCGCGUUGGACCGUGUAUAAGUCUCCUGGAAUGGAGCGUCAUAGAGGGUGAGAAUCCCGUCUUUGACACGGACUACCAAGGCAUUGUGGUGCGCUCUCGAAGAGUCGAGUUGUUUGGGAAUGCAGCUCUAAAUGGGUGGUAAAUUCCAUCUAAAGCUAAAUAUUGGCGAGAGACCGAUAGCGAACAAGUACCGUGAGGGAAAGAUGAAAAGAACUUUGGAAAGAGAGUUAAACAGUACGUGAAAUUGCUGAAAGGGAAACGCUUGAAGUCAGUCGCGUUGGCCAGGGAUCAGCCUUGCUUUUGUGAGGUGUACUUCCUGGUUGACGGGUCAGCAUCAGUUUCGACCAUUGGAAAAAGGCUUGGGGAAUGUGGCACCUUCGGGUGUGUUAUAGCCCCUUGUCGUAUACAGUGGUUGGGACUGAGGAACUCAGCACGCCGCAAGGCCGGGUUUCGACCACGUUCGUGCUUAGGAUGCUGGCAAAAUGGCUUUAAGCGACCCGUC
This 615-nucleotide ribosomal RNA is filed under the name Marasmius puerariae. RNAcentral describes it as "eukaryotic LSU rRNA". It matches the Rfam family "Eukaryotic large subunit ribosomal RNA", at positions 52 to 653 of the family's 3401-position model. Lineage: Eukaryota; Fungi; Basidiomycota; Agaricomycetes; Agaricales; Marasmiaceae. The record is from RNAcentral.